GGUCCCAUCGUCUAGCGGUUAGGACACCGGGUUUUCAUCCCGGCAACAGGGGUUCGAUUCCCCUUGGGAUCACCA
This 75-nucleotide transfer RNA is filed under the name bacterium. RNAcentral describes it as "tRNA-Glu". It matches the Rfam family "tRNA". Rfam says of the family: Transfer RNA (tRNA) molecules are approximately 80 nucleotides in length. Their secondary structure includes four short double-helical elements and three loops (D, anti-codon, and T loops). The record is from RNAcentral. RNAcentral also lists the same sequence under 9 other names.